GGCUGAGGCUGGUAUUCCUGCUCAAGGGACCCUCCUGAGCAUUCUCUCAAGUCAGCCUAGAACGAUCACUGUGACCACAUGCUUGGUUGAUCCUACCUUCUAGCAGACCAGCAGCUGCCCCCCAGGAAGAGCUGCCUUGGGACUCCUCCAUGUUUUACUAAACAUAACCCCUCAUCUCUGGGUUCUGACCCUGCUCCACAGUCUCCCACACUCUGACUUGGAUUUUGGCUCUGUACACUCACUCCCCUCUUGGGCUUCCCUGGAAGUUCAGAAGGUAAAGAAUCUGCCUUUAGUGCAGGAGACCCAGGUACAGUCUCUCGAUUGGGAAGAUCCCCUCGAGAAGGAAAUGGCAACCCACUCCAGUAUUCUUGCCUGGAGAAUUCCAUGGACAGAGGAACCUGGCAAGCUACAGUCCACGGGUUCGCAGAGUUGGAUGCUACUGAAUGACAAACACUUAUUUCACUCCCCUCUUGGCAUCAGCUUCCCCACCAUCCAGUACUGGCUGCCUGCUUAGCCUCCCAGCCACCAGGUCAAGUAUGUGGACUCUCUGCAAAUAUUUACUAUGGGUCUCUGAGGUGCCCGGCACUGUGCUAGACAGGAACUGCCUUGUGAACCAAAACAGACUUGUCACUGCCCUUGGAGAACUUUGCUUUCUGAUGUGGGAAACAGUGGUGAAACAAAUGUAAAAUGUGUACAGUAUUAUGUGCUGGGGAGGGGAGGGCACAGUACUGUGGAUGUCUAUCAGAGGGGAGCCUUGCCCAAGGAGCAAUAUUUAAGCUAAAAUCUAAGACAGCAGUGGGUGUUACCUAGGUAAAGAGGAGAGGGAGAUGGAAGAGGAAAGGGUGUCAUGUGCAAAGUCUGGGCUGUGGGACGGAACAUGUCAUAUCAGGGGACGGAAGGCCUGGGUGGCUGCUGCAGAGGGGGAGAGAGGUGUGAAGCGGCUUUCGACCUUCUGUAACCUAUAUGGCACCCACUCUCUGGCCAAGGUUCAUCACACAGCAGCCACCCACCCCGAUGUAGCAGUCAUUUGGUAACUGGCUCUAGUGGGCCACACUUUGUGCAGCGGUGCAGGUUGUCAGCCCUGACUCUGUGAAUAGCAAAACUGAAUGUCUCUCUUCCCUCUUUCUAGCCCCCAUCCCUGGGGCUUUCCCCCUUUUUCUAGGGAAAUAGGACAAAUCUGACUACAGACUAUAACAGAAAGAGAUGGGUUUCAUGGUUUAUUUUAGCUGGCCAGGCACAGGGUGUUCAAAGUAGUCCUUUAUUUUAAAUUCAAGUUGUGCAUCUUUCGAUUCAUAUGUUGUCCAUAGAGGUUGGAAGUCUGGGAGGAACUCCUUUAUCCCAUUCAGUUGUCCCCUACAUCCUCGGCAAUUGAAGUGUUCCCACACAUCUUACCUUCUGGAGGUCAGCCCCGUCUCCUCCAGCCCCUGGAGAACAACAACAGACUUCCCUUUGAAUCCUCAUUUACAAUAGAGUGUUCUAGGAAGAGGUGACUAAUCACAGUGAAGAAGGGACUGUCCCAAAGGACUCCAUGAUUCAGUAGGGAACUCUAGAGCUUCUUAUCUAUGUGGUGUACUCCCCAAGAAUGUACUCAGAUCUUUAAAUACCAAAA
This is a long non-coding RNA of Bos taurus (domestic cattle), 1609 nucleotides long. The record is from Ensembl. Lineage: Eukaryota; Metazoa; Chordata; Mammalia; Artiodactyla; Bovidae.